Molecule: unclassified non-coding RNA, 263 nt
Filed under: plant metagenome
Description: partial contains small subunit ribosomal RNA, internal transcribed spacer 1, and 5.8S ribosomal RNA
Source: RNAcentral
UCUCCGUAGGUGAACCUGCGGAAGGAUCAUUAUUGUAUAACCGAGGUGCGCGGCCUGACGCUGACCCGACAGGUCGUGCACGCCCUAGUGCCCUCACACACAUCCAUCUCACCCCUGUGUGCACGACAGCGUGGCUCCCCCUUUGGGUUGUUCGGCGGGCGGCUUACGUUUUCACACAAGCGUUGUAUGAAGUGUAGGAUGUAUUUUUUGUUUUUGCGAUCACGCAAUCAAUACAACUUUCAACAACGGAUCUCUUGGUUCUC